UAAGAUGGCGACCGGCGCACGGGUGAGUAACACGUAUCCAACCUGCCGAUAACUCCGGAAUAGCCUUUCGAAAGAAAGAUUAAUACCGGAUAGCAUACGAAUAUCGCAUGAUAUUUUUAUUAAAGAAUUUCGGUUAUCGAUGGGGAUGCGUUCCAUUAGUUUGUUGGCGGGGUAACGGCCCACCAAGACUACGAUGGAUAGGGGUUCUGAGAGGAAGGUCCCCCACAUUGGAACUGAGACACGGUCCAA
Molecule: ribosomal RNA, 249 nt
Filed under: uncultured bacterium
Lineage: Bacteria
Description: partial 16S ribosomal RNA
Rfam family: Bacterial small subunit ribosomal RNA
Source: RNAcentral